GGCGGUGAACACCAUCUUGGGGGAGAGAUGGAAGUCCUUGUCCACCGAGCAGCAGGCCAAGUACUACCAGGAGGCCGACGCAGCGAGGCGCCGCCAUGAGCAGCAGCACCCCCAGUGGUCCAGCAGGGACAACUACGGUCAGAAGAGGAAGAGGAGGCAUCAGGGAAGCACAGCUCCCAGCAGCUCUGGAG
This is a long non-coding RNA of Melanotaenia boesemani (Boeseman's rainbowfish), 191 nucleotides long. RefSeq lists it as uncharacterized. The record is from RefSeq and is a predicted model, not a curated record. Lineage: Eukaryota; Metazoa; Chordata; Actinopteri; Atheriniformes; Melanotaeniidae. The transcript has 3 exons.